AUCCUUUGACCGCGUCCGAGAGGACGUUUCCCCUUCGGGGGCAAAGUGACAGGUGGUGCAUGGUUGUCGUCAGCUCGUGUCGUGAGAUGUUGGGUUAAGUCCCGUAACGAGCGCAACCCUUAUUGUUAGUUGCCAGCAUUGAGUUGGGCACUCUAGCAAGACUGCCGGUGACAAACCGGAGGAAGGCGGGGAUGACGUCAAAUCAUCAUGCCCCUUAUGACCUGGGCUACACACGUGCUACAAUGGGAAGUACAACGAGCGCGCCAAGCCGCAAGGCCGAGCGAAUCUCUGAAAGCUUCUCUCAGUUCGGAUUGCAGGCUGCAACUCGCCUGCAUGAAGCCGGAAUCGCUAGUAAUCGCGGAUCAGC
This 367-nucleotide ribosomal RNA is filed under the name Tetragenococcus solitarius. RNAcentral's name for it is "bacterial SSU rRNA". It matches the Rfam family "Bacterial small subunit ribosomal RNA", at positions 986 to 1353 of the family's 1533-position model. The record is from RNAcentral. Lineage: Bacteria; Bacillati; Bacillota; Bacilli; Lactobacillales; Enterococcaceae.